UGUUGCUUAGCUCAGUUGGUUAGAGCAUGAUGCUAAUAAUGCCAGUGUUGUGGAUUUGAUCCCCAUAUGGGCCA
Lamprotornis superbus is the source of this 74-nucleotide non-coding RNA. The record is from the annotation of a GenBank genome assembly. Lineage: Eukaryota; Metazoa; Chordata; Aves; Passeriformes; Sturnidae.